GACGAACGCUGGCGGCGUGCUUAACACAUGCCAGUCGAACGGACAGGCCCUGCUUGCAGGGUUCUCGAGUUGCGAACGGGUGAGUAACACGCGGGUGAUCUGCCCUGCACUUCGGGAUAAGCCUGGGAAACUGGGCCUAAUACCUGACAGGAGCCAUUUUGAGUGGGAUGGUUGGAAAGUUUUUGCGGUGUAGGAUGAGCUUGCGCCCUAGCAGCUUGUUGGUGGGGUAAUGGCCUAACAUGGCGGCGACGGGUAGCCGGCCUGCGGGGGUGGACGGCCACAUCGGGCCCGAGCGACGGCCCGGACUCCUGCGGCGUGCAGAAGGGGGGAAAGCUGGACGAAGCGCGCCAGCCUGAUGCAAGAACGCCGCCGGGGGGAUGACGGCCUUCAGGUUGUAAGAUCCAAUCGGUAAGGACCAAGCUUUUUGUGACGGUACCUAGAUCAGAAGCCCCCGCUAACUACCUG
This 465-nucleotide ribosomal RNA is filed under the name uncultured bacterium. RNAcentral describes it as "partial 16S ribosomal RNA". It matches the Rfam family "Bacterial small subunit ribosomal RNA", at positions 28 to 507 of the family's 1533-position model. The record is from RNAcentral.